CUAAGGUCCUCCAUUCUGAUUUUAAAUUUAUCUCCCAAAUUUUUCUUGUUCCAGAUUAAGGCCUUGGCGCCCGCCUCCUGUACACAAUCCAUAGGUGGGCCCUCGCGGUAUUCAUCAUCCAGAUAUUCUAGACUAUUUUGCUUGUGGAGACCGCAUGCUGGAGUCUUCUCGACUGGGCAACGACCUGCCAGUUUCGCUAUUGCUUUAGCUUCAUCAGGAAAAGAGAUCUCUUUCUAUCUAGCCGGUAAUGGGUUAUAAAGGGCCCAUGAUCUCCAGGGACUGGAUCCCAUGUUGCUGGAACUGUCUGCUAAUGGGUAUGGAUUGGUCCCCCCUUGUGAUGUUGCUGAGGUGUCCUGUCAGUCUGACUCUGAUGCUGUUACCUGUUUUGCCUAUGUACAGUAAGUUGCACUCUUUACAUCUAAUUGCAUACACCACAUUCUUUUGCUCACAGGUUAUCCUCUGCGCUAUCUGGCCUCUCUUCCCUGUUACACUGUUCUCUAUAUUUUUGGCUUUUACUAAGUGGGUGCAGGCCCCACACCGUCUCUGCCCACAGUCUGGGGCUGUGUGUAGACUUGUACUGACCAGGAUGUCCUUCAGAUUUUUAGCCCUCUUGUAUGCUGACAUUACCUUGUACCCCUUUAGUGUGGCAAAUCCCCUUUGGAAUUGUUCAAACCGGCCCU
This is a long non-coding RNA of Amblyraja radiata (thorny skate), 680 nucleotides long. RefSeq lists it as uncharacterized. The record is from RefSeq and is a predicted model, not a curated record. Lineage: Eukaryota; Metazoa; Chordata; Chondrichthyes; Rajiformes; Rajidae. The transcript is spliced from 3 exons.